AGUGAUCAAUUCUAUGAGUUAAUUAAAGAGACAAAUAUAACAACAUCAAUAUACUUAAGAGACAUUUAAAAAUUAACAACUAUUAUCUUUGGAAGAAUUUCUUACAACUAGUUGCAAAAAUAAAAUUUGAUUGAAUAGAAGAGAGCAUGAUCUUUAACAUUAUAAAAUCAUGAUCAAACAAUUAGUUGUUUAAUUACAUGCAAACGAGAAAAAAUAUGACCAAGUUUUUCAAAUUUGUUAACGUUAUGAUCCUUAUUUUUUCCCUAUUUCUUGCUGUAUGCAAUGCAAAUUCUUGGUCUCUACUACCACCGCCUAUUGUUUGUUAUACUAUCAAACAUUGUCCAAAAGAUUUUUGCACCUACCCUAAAGUUACAAAGUGCAAGUGGUUCUUUUGUAAAUGCCUAUGAUGACUAUUACAUGGAGGCCACCACCUUUUGUUUGUUAUACUACCAAAGAUUGUCCAGAAGAUUAUUGCUCCCACCCUAAAGUUGUGAUGUGCAAGCGGUUUAUUUGUAAAUGCAUAUGAAUAAUAAGAAAAUAGUACAAAUAAUAAGAUUGUCCAGAAGAUUAUUGCUCCCACCCUAAGGAAUUUGAUUAUACUCUCUGUCCUUUUUAUUUUAUUUUUUAUGUUUUUUUACAUUCUAUAAUAGUACAAAUAAUAAGAAAAUAUCUUAUAAUUUU
Molecule: long non-coding RNA, 681 nt
Organism: Trifolium pratense (red clover)
Lineage: Eukaryota; Viridiplantae; Streptophyta; Magnoliopsida; Fabales; Fabaceae
Exons: 3
Source: RefSeq, a predicted model, not a curated record